GAGAGCGGCUCUGCGCGGCGCUGGGCCCUCCGUGUCCCCGGCCCAGAACGGGCUCACGCCUGCCAGGGGAGCGGAGACGGGAUUGUCUGCCUUUAAUGAGGAGUGUCUGAAUUUUACGAAGCCUUUUUUGUUCAUGAAGAAUUCUUCUAGUGAGUAAUAUGUUGGUAAGGAUAUAAACAUGGACAGAAUUCUAUCUUAAACCAGUUGGCUUGAACUCUAAUAUUAGUUUUGGAGCUUUUAUAUUUACUUUUCACCCAAGAUAAAUAUCUUGGGAAAUACUUAUUUGAAAUCAGGAUUACAUUAUGUUCUUUUAUUAUUUUUUUAAUCUUGUGACAGUUCUUUGAAGUCUUCAGCAUGGUAACAAAAUAAAGAUUAACAUUCUGAUGCCUUAAAAUUUGAGAUCUUGAGUAGCAAAAAACUGUGAGUUCUCUGUUUGUUUGCACUGUCCUUUAUUUCAGGUAUGAUUAUGACAUUACAGAUCAGAUUCUGCAUUCAUGGAGCACCCUUUAAAACUCAUAAGAUUUUCAAUCAGAUGGUGUUCUUGUUGUAAAACACAAGAAAUGUAAGAUAGAUAGAUAUUAAAGGUAGGAAAUUAUUCUGCCAUUUGGCUGAGUAUUUCUGAGAUGUCAGCUGCUUGUGGAUUGGGGCUUUUGUGAAAGAAUAAUGGUAUUAAAAACUCAGUGUAUAAAAAAGUAAUUUCCUUUGUUUUUUCUGUAGUUGGAAUUCAAGUUUAGACCUGCCAACUUCUUCUCAAGAAAAGUCCUUACUCUUGUGAAAUGCUCCCUUGAAAGAUACAGGUAUCUUCUGACAGGCACCUGUCAGACACACACACAACUUUGCUCAACUGUUCUCCACAUUUCUUAUUGAUUUUCUUAUUGAUUUUCUAGGCCUUUUCAGACUGUCCCCAACUCAUCUCUGUUAAAAGCUGAGUCACACCUUUCCUAUAGCUUGUUCACAGUAUAUAGCUAUUGUGUUCAUCAUGUUUAUCUUCCUAAUUAAUUGUGCACAAGUGUAGUGUCUCUGCCCAGUUUCACAGGACAUCACAGUGGGUUUGGCUCUGAGGUUUUUCAUUGCAGCACCAUGUAAGUCCUUUGGGGAAAGAAUUGUAUUUUGUGCAAUGGGACACGUGUCAGGCUGGAAAUUCUGAGUUGUAUUGGGACAUCCAGAUCAAAACUGAUAGGAAGAUUUUUCCAGGAACAGUAAAUUGCAUGCACUUAGUCACUAGGAAAGUAGAGGUUAAGUCCUUUUAUAAUGCAGAAAAAUCUUGGGAAAAAGUUUUGUUUAGAUAUGUAGUCAUCUUACCCAGUUGGGCUACAUUUCAAAUUAGCUCUGUGUCUCAAUCAUUGCUGCAAUUCAUUUAGGUGAAUUACUUUAAAAAAAUGUUUUUAUUGGUCUAUGGACAUGUGUCAAAUAUCUGUAUGCUGUCAAUAUUUUUUGGGUCCUGGAUAUAGAUCAUUAUAUUCAUAUCCAAGUUAUUGCAACAUGACAGAAAAUUAAUAAAAGCUGUUCUUCAGAAAACUAAAUGUUUGACCAAUUCUUGUGCCUGCAGUCAAUUUGCUUUGGGUUUAGUUCUUUACUCUUGAAACCAUCAGCAGUAUUUCUAUGCAUAAAAUAAUCAGAGAGACAGGAAAAAGAAAUUAAAGACAGUAUUUAUUUUUGCAUUCUUCUCCUUCCUAAAGUAUUCUGUUUGUUUUGAAAGGUGAUUUCUAGUCUGAAUACAGUGAAUACUGAAAAUUUGCUGUAAGAAGAUUGUCAGGUUUGAUGUGGGGACAGGUGAGUCCUAGGUUAACCUUGUCUCUUCAUUAUUAGAACAUACAUUUAAAUAUAUAUUUGCUGCCAGUGAAUAUAUUUGCUCUGUUUUGUCUCCCAGCACUUCAAGAUUCUGGGUAAACUUUUAUCUAUCUUGUAAGUUCCACUCAAAGCAAAAUAUGUAUUUAAACUGAAUCUGCUUGGCUGAAAGAUAAAAAUUAAAGGAGUUUAAGAACCCUCUUGAAUUUUCCACAGCAGCAUAUUCCCUUUGAAACCAGUAAAAUGGCAGAAGCUGGAAAGCAAGGAUGAUGCAAGGAGCAGGGCAUGAGACCAAGCUUUGCCCUAGACUGACAAUUCAGCACAUCAGAUGUUACAGAGAACCUUUCCACCCAUCAUCUGCCCUUUGGUGUGUUUCCUGGGAGCCUUUGCUGGCCUGCAUUUUGCAGCACACACUGUAUUAAUGGAACAGCCCCUUCCCCAGCUUGCUCUGGGGAUGACCUGGGUGAUGUGCAGCAAAAGCAAAAGCUGGGAAGACAGAAAGAGAGAAGUAUGAAAAACUGAGGAGAACACAUAAAUGUCUAAAUAAAUACAGUCUUCUCUCUUGGCUUUGGUUUUCCAUCCUGCCCGUGGGCUUGUGUUUGAGACAUUACAGUCUGUUGCCAUAGCACUUGUCCUGGUACCAAAGAGCAGCUAGCUGGUGUUUGCAUCAAGACAAGUUAAUAAAAUUAUAUUCUGCUGAUGACCAAAGGAGAAAAAUUACCUUUUGCCUUUUCCCUCCUUCAGCAGAGGGUCAGGGGUCCAAGGAAGAGAUGGUGCAGAAGUUUCUAGAACCAAGUGGAGCCAUUAGCUCCCAUAUUUAUUUCAUCAGAAGUGAGCCCUUUUCUGUUCUAGUUUAUUCUAGAUGCUAUGUCAACCCUACUACCAGCCCCACUGGUAGCUCUCAGUGCUUCCCAGGGUUGUGGGGGUGUUGGGAAGAUGUAAUGGAAUGCUGCUUGGAUUAGUAGAAGUGUUUCUUGAAGCAGCUCUCACACUCAGCAGAGCCUGCUGUUCUCUGAAGGAGUUGAUAUCAUUUAUUCCUGCCCAGUUCUCCAAAAACUGGAGUGAUUUCAGCCUGAGCAGGCAGAGACAUCUUCCACAGUGUUUGCUGUGUCCAUGCUCAUGGUAUCAGAUACUGCUUACCAUUUCUCUGGUUUCUUUUCUUUCAGGCCAUGUGAAAAUUGCUGGUUUUGUGAGAAGCUAGCUAUGAAGGAAAUCUGCUUGCUUGGCAGUUCACUAUACCAGACCAAGCACACCUCAUCUCAGAAAGUGUCUGAACAAAUGACACAGGGUAACCCUGGGCCUCUAGACACAGCAAGCAAUAGUCAGCAUAAGCAAAUAGUGGGUCAUAAAAGCCAAAUGAAUUUAAAGACUGUUCAUCUGUUUUCAUUGCUGACA
This is a long non-coding RNA of Oenanthe melanoleuca, 3183 nucleotides long. RefSeq lists it as uncharacterized. Lineage: Eukaryota; Metazoa; Chordata; Aves; Passeriformes; Muscicapidae. The transcript is spliced from 3 exons. The record is from RefSeq and is a predicted model, not a curated record.